GGCGCUGUGGCUCAAUUGGUAGAGCAUUAGACUUGAUCUGAAGAGCUGAGGGACAGCGCCC
Dipodomys ordii (Ord's kangaroo rat) is the source of this 61-nucleotide non-coding RNA. The record is from Rfam. NCBI's taxonomy places the organism in Eukaryota, Metazoa, Chordata, Mammalia, Rodentia, Heteromyidae.